RNAcentral lists this transfer RNA (76 nucleotides) under Verrucomicrobiales bacterium. RNAcentral's name for it is "tRNA-Thr". The record is from RNAcentral. Lineage: Bacteria; Pseudomonadati; Verrucomicrobiota; Verrucomicrobiia; Verrucomicrobiales.
GACCGUUUUCUGAAAGAUGGCGAGAUGCGGUUUCGUAAACCGUAGGUCAUCGGUUCGACCCCGAUCAUUGGCUCCA